GCAUCUAAUGGCAUCAAGACAGGUGUGUCUUGAUUCCUCAACCUGUCUGUCUGGGGCACAGGUAAUGAAACAUGGACUCUGAAGCCAAAAGCCUGGGAUCUGUAUGACAGCUUGGACACUUAAUAACCACUGACCUCAGAGAAGUUACUUUACCUCCUCUGCCAGAAUAUUCUCAUCUGUAGAAAGAGGAUACUAACCAUCUCAAAUAGCUGUUGUGAGGAUUAAAUGCAUGGUGAAACACUUAAAACAGGGCCUGGCACGUGGCAAAUGCCAACUUUCCUGCUGAUCACAGUGUUAAGUCUCCCAGCGACUUCUGAAGGUCUCUUCUUGGCAAUUCUCAUGCUACGUGAUACCAAAAACAUCCUGUAAGCCUCUGUGGCACCGGAGAGAGGCAGGAUGAGGCCAAGCCAGUCUGUUCCAUGUUCCAGCAAUGACAGUGCACAGGGCAAACCAUGUGGAGAUAAUUGCCAGAAUUGGGGCAACUACCAAUGCCCAGUGCCAGCCAACUACAUCUGUGAAGCCCACCAGAGAAAUGGUGUGAUUGCUAUGUGCACGAGGGAGGCAGGACUAGGGGACCCAAUUUGGUCUGAGCCCAGGGUGGAGACUAGAUGAAUCCUAAUUUAGAAAGUACUAUAAUUGAGUCUGUCUCGGCUCUGUUUCCAAUAUAUAAAAUGGAAGCAAUUUAAUGGAAUUUAGCAUUUCAGAUUUAAAAGAUAUAGCCAGAAAAGGGGCUAGGAUUUUUGCGUUAUGAACCUUGAAUAUCCUAUUUCUCUAAUUACGGGAUUUCUUUUUCCAAUCAUAUUUUUCUUGUAACUCAAAUUCAGUCUGCUUUAGAAAGAAUCAUGAUUUAAGAAAAUCCAAAGUUAUAAAUAAGAUAAAAUCAGAAA
Molecule: long non-coding RNA, 887 nt
Organism: Canis lupus familiaris (dog)
Lineage: Eukaryota; Metazoa; Chordata; Mammalia; Carnivora; Canidae
Exons: 2
Source: RefSeq, a predicted model, not a curated record